GACGAACCGUGCAAACGUUAUUCGGAAUCACUGGGCGUAAAGGGUGCGUAGGCGGGUCUUUAAGUCAGGGGUGAAAUCCUGGAGCUCAACUCCAGAACUGCCUUUGAUACUGAAGAUCUUGAGUUCGGGAGAGGUGAGUGGAACUGCGAGUGUAGAGGUGAAAUUCGUAGAUAUUCGCAAGAACACCAGUGGCGAAGGCGGUUCACUGGCCCGAUACUGUCGCUGAGGCACGAAAGCGUGGGGAGCAAACAGG
This 253-nucleotide ribosomal RNA is filed under the name uncultured bacterium. RNAcentral's name for it is "partial 16S ribosomal RNA". It matches the Rfam family "Bacterial small subunit ribosomal RNA", at positions 524 to 776 of the family's 1533-position model. The record is from RNAcentral.